CGGCGGACGGGUGAGUAACGCGUGGGUAACCUGCCUCAUACAGGGGGAUAACAGUUGGAAACGGCUGCUAAUACCGCAUAAGCGCACAGUACCGCAUGGUACCGUGUGAAAAACUCCGGUGGUAUGGGAUGGACCCGCGUCUGAUUAGCUAGUUGGUGGGGUAACGGCCUACCAAGGCGACGAUCAGUAGCCGACCUGAGAGGGUGACCGGCCACAUUGGGACUGAGACACGGCCCAA
Molecule: ribosomal RNA, 238 nt
Filed under: uncultured bacterium
Lineage: Bacteria
Description: partial 16S ribosomal RNA
Rfam family: Bacterial small subunit ribosomal RNA
Source: RNAcentral